UGAAAUGAUGAUCGCACUGGGCUCUGAGCAGUUUGAUUAAAGACUGCUAAUUUGAUGCACAUUGCAGCCUAGAAAGCUAGUCUGAUCU
This is a small nucleolar RNA of Ipomoea triloba (trilobed morning glory), 88 nucleotides long. The record is from RefSeq and is a predicted model, not a curated record. Lineage: Eukaryota; Viridiplantae; Streptophyta; Magnoliopsida; Solanales; Convolvulaceae.